Molecule: ribosomal RNA, 1378 nt
Filed under: Salmonella enterica subsp. enterica serovar Grumpensis
Lineage: Bacteria; Pseudomonadati; Pseudomonadota; Gammaproteobacteria; Enterobacterales; Enterobacteriaceae
Description: bacterial LSU rRNA
Rfam family: Bacterial large subunit ribosomal RNA
Source: RNAcentral
ACGAGGCACUACGGUGCUGAAGCAACAAAUGCCCUGCUUCCAGGAAAAGCCUCUAAGCAUCAGGUAACAUCAAAUCGUACCCCAAACCGACACAGGUGGUCAGGUAGAGAAUACCAAGGCGCUUGAGAGAACUCGGGUGAAGGAACUAGGCAAAAUGGUGCCGUAACUUCGGGAGAAGGCACGCUGACAUGUAGGUGAAGUGAUUUACUCAUGGAGCUGAAGUCAGUCGAAGAUACCAGCUGGCUGCAACUGUUUAUUAAAAACACAGCACUGUGCAAACACGAAAGUGGACGUAUACGGUGUGACGCCUGCCCGGUGCCGGAAGGUUAAUUGAUGGGGUCAGCGCAAGCGAAGCUCCUGAUCGAAGCCCCGGUAAACGGCGGCCGUAACUAUAACGGUCCUAAGGUAGCGAAAUUCCUUGUCGGGUAAGUUCCGACCUGCACGAAUGGCGUAAUGAUGGCCAGGCUGUCUCCACCCGAGACUCAGUGAAAUUGAACUCGCUGUGAAGAUGCAGUGUACCCGCGGCAAGACGGAAAGACCCCGUGAACCUUUACUAUAGCUUGACACUGAACAUUGAGCCUUGAUGUGUAGGAUAGGUGGGAGGCUUUGAAGUGUGGACGCCAGUCUGCAUGGAGCCGGCCUUGAAAUACCACCCUUUAAUGUUUGAUGUUCUAACGUGGACCCGUGAUCCGGGUUGCGGACAGUGUCUGGUGGGUAGUUUGACUGGGGCGGUCUCCUCCUAAAGAGUAACGGAGGAGCACGAAGGUUGGCUAAUCCUGGUCGGACAUCAGGAGGUUAGUGCAAUGGCAUAAGCCAGCUUGACUGCGAGCGUGACGGCGCGAGCAGGUGCGAAAGCAGGUCAUAGUGAUCCGGUGGUUCUGAAUGGAAGGGCCAUCGCUCAACGGAUAAAAGGUACUCCGGGGAUAACAGGCUGAUACCGCCCAAGAGUUCAUAUCGACGGCGGUGUUUGGCACCUCGAUGUCGGCUCAUCACAUCCUGGGGCUGAAGUAGGUCCCAAGGGUAUGGCUGUUCGCCAUUUAAAGUGGUACGCGAGCUGGGUUUAGAACGUCGUGAGACAGUUCGGUCCCUAUCUGCCGUGGGCGCUGGAGAACUGAGGGGGGCUGCUCCUAGUACGAGAGGACCGGAGUGGACGCAUCACUGGUGUUCGGGUUGUCAUGCCAAUGGCACUGCCCGGUAGCUAAAUGCGGAAGAGAUAAGUGCUGAAAGCAUCUAAGCACGAAACUUGCCCCGAGAUGAGUUCUCCCUGAGACUUUAGGUCUCCUGAAGGAACGUUGAAGACGACGACGUUGAUAGGCCGGGUGUGUAAGCGCAGCGAUGCGUUGAGCUAACCGGUACUAAUGAACCGUGAGGCUUAACC